RNAcentral lists this ribosomal RNA (497 nucleotides) under uncultured bacterium. Its description in RNAcentral is "partial 16S ribosomal RNA". It matches the Rfam family "Bacterial small subunit ribosomal RNA", at positions 28 to 507 of the family's 1533-position model. The record is from RNAcentral.
GAUGAACGCUGGCGGCGUGCCUAACACAUGCAAGUCGAGCGAACAGACGAGGAGUUUGCUCCUCUGACGUUAGCGGCGGACGGGUGAUUAACACGUGUAUAACCUACCUAUAAGACUGGGAUAACUUCGCGAAACCGGAUCUAAUACCGGAUAAUAUAUUGAACCUCAUUGUUCAAUAGUGAAAGUCGGUUUUGCUGUCACUUAUAGAUGAAUCCGCGCCGCAUUAGCUAGUUGGUAAGGUAACGGCUUACCAAGGCAACGAUGCGUAGCCGACCUGAGAGGGUGAUCGGACAGACUGGAACUGAGACACGGUCCAGACUCCUACGGGAGGCAGCAGUAGGGAAUCUUACGCGAUGGGCGAAAGCCUGACGGAGCAAAGCGGCGUGAGUGAUGAAGGUCUUCGGAUCGUAAAACUCUGUUAGUAGGGAAGAAGAAAUGUGUAAGUAACUAUGCACGUAUUGACGGUACCUAAAGAGAAAGCCACGGCUAACUACGUG